This 1064-nucleotide ribosomal RNA is filed under the name Duganella sp. RNAcentral describes it as "bacterial SSU rRNA". It matches the Rfam family "Bacterial small subunit ribosomal RNA", at positions 56 to 1113 of the family's 1533-position model. The record is from RNAcentral. Lineage: Bacteria; Pseudomonadati; Pseudomonadota; Betaproteobacteria; Burkholderiales; Oxalobacteraceae.
UGCAGUCGACGGCAGCGCGGGCUUCGGCCUGGCGGCGAGUGGCGAACGGGUGAGUAAUAUAUCGGAACGUACCCAAGAGUGGGGGAUAACGUAGCGAAAGUUACGCUAAUACCGCAUACGAUCUAAGGAUGAAAGCAGGGGAUCGCAAGACCUUGUGCUCCUGGAGCGGCCGAUAUCUGAUUAGCUAGUUGGUGGGGUAAAGGCCCACCAAGGCAACGAUCAGUAGCUGGUCUGAGAGGACGACCAGCCACACUGGAACUGAGACACGGUCCAGACUCCUACGGGAGGCAGCAGUGGGGAAUUUUGGACAAUGGGGGCAACCCUGAUCCAGCAAUGCCGCGUGAGUGAAGAAGGCCUUCGGGUUGUAAAGCUCUUUUGUCAGGGAAGAAAAGGCUGUGGCUAAUAUCCGCAGCUGCUGACGGUACCUGAAGAAUAAGCACCGGCUAACUACGUGCCAGCAGCCGCGGUAAUACGUAGGGUGCAAGCGUUAAUCGGAAUUACUGGGCGUAAAGCGUGCGCAGGCGGUUUCGUAAGUCUGUCGUGAAAUCCCCGGGCUUAACCUGGGAAUGGCGAUGGAGACUGCGAGGCUAGAGUUUGGCAGAGGGGGGUAGAAUUCCACGUGUAGCAGUGAAAUGCGUAGAGAUGUGGAGGAACACCGAUGGCGAAGGCAGCCCCCUGGGUCAAAACUGACGCUCAUGCACGAAAGCGUGGGGAGCAAACAGGAUUAGAUACCCUGGUAGUCCACGCCCUAAACGAUGUCUACUAGUUGUUGGGUCUUAAUUGACUUAGUAACGCAGCUAACGCGUGAAGUAGACCGCCUGGGGAGUACGGUCGCAAGAUUAAAACUCAAAGGAAUUGACGGGGACCCGCACAAGCGGUGGAUGAUGUGGAUUAAUUCGAUGCAACGCGAAAAACCUUACCUACCCUUGACAUGGAUGGAAUCCCGGAGAGAUUUGGGAGUGCUCGAAAGAGAACCAUCACACAGGGUGCUGCAUGGCUGUCGUCAGCUCGUGNNCGNGAAAUGUUGGGUUAAGUCCCGCAACGGAGCGCAACCCUUUGGCAUU